UGGGGAAUAUUGCACAAUGGGCGCAAGCCUGAUGCAGCCAUGCCGCGUGUAUGAAGAAGGCCUUCGGGUUGUAAAGUACUUUCAGCGAGGAGGAAGGUGUUGAGGUUAAUAACCGCAGCAAUUGACGUUACUCGCAGAAGAAGCACCGGCUAACUCCGUGCCAGCAGCCGCGGUAAUACGGAGGGUGCAAGCGUUAAUCGGAAUUACUGGGCGUAAAGCGCACGCAGGCGGUCUGUCAAGUCGGAUGUGAAAUCCCCGGGCUCAACCUGGGAACUGCAUCCGAAACUGGCAGGCUAGAGUCUUGUAGAGGGGGGUAGAAUUCCAGGUGUAGCGGUGAAAUGCGUAGAGAUCUGGAGGAAUACCGGUGGCGAAGGCGGCCCCCUGGACAAAGACUGACGCUCAGGUGCGAAAGCGUGGGGAGCAAACAGG
RNAcentral lists this ribosomal RNA (429 nucleotides) under uncultured bacterium. RNAcentral's name for it is "bacterial SSU rRNA". It matches the Rfam family "Bacterial small subunit ribosomal RNA", at positions 355 to 776 of the family's 1533-position model. The record is from RNAcentral.